RNAcentral lists this ribosomal RNA (459 nucleotides) under uncultured bacterium. RNAcentral describes it as "partial 16S ribosomal RNA". It matches the Rfam family "Bacterial small subunit ribosomal RNA", at positions 338 to 795 of the family's 1533-position model. The record is from RNAcentral.
CCUACGGGAGGCAGCAGUGAGGAAUAUUGGUCAAUGGUCGGGAGACUGAACCAGCCAAGCCGCGUGAGGGAUGAAGGUACAGAGUAUCGUAAACCUCUUUUGUCAGGGAACAAAGGCGGGGACGUGUCCCCGGAUGAGUGUACCUGAAGAAAAAGCAUCGGCUAACUCCGUGCCAGCAGCCGCGGUAAUACGGAGGAUGCGAGCGUUAUCCGGAUUUAUUGGGUUUAAGGGGUGCGCAGGCGGUCUGUUAAGUCAGCGGGAAAAGCCGGGGGCACAACCCCGGCCCGCCGUUGAAACUGGCAGUCUCGAGUUGGAGAGAAGUAUGCGGAAUGCGCGGUGUAGCGGUGAAAUGCUUAGAUAUCACGCAGAACUCCGAUUGCGAAGGCAGCAUGCCGGCUCCACACUGACGCUGAGGCACGAAAGCGUGGGUAUCGAACAGGAUUAGAUACCCGGGUAGUC